GCCUGCUGGGCAUUAACUGACGCUGAGGCACGAAAGCGUGGGUAGCAAACAGGAUUAGAUACCCUGGUAGUCCACGCUGUAAACGAUGAUUACUAGGUGUGGGUGGACUGACCCCAUCCGUGCCGCAGUUAACACAAUAAGUAAUCCACCUGGGGAGUACGGCCGCAAGGUUGAAACUCAAAGGAAUUGACGGGGGCCCGCACAAGCAGUGGAGUAUGUGGUUUAAUUCGAAGCAACGCGAAGAACCUUACCAGGUCUUGACAUCGAGUGACGACUCUAGAGAUAGAGUUUUCCUUCGGGACACGAAGACAGGUGGUGCAUGGUUGUCGUCAGCUCGUGUCGUGAGAUGUUGGGUUAAGUCCCGCAACGAGCGCAACCCUUGCUAUUAGUUGCUACGCAAGAGCACUCUAAUAGGACUGCCGUUGACAAAACGGAGGAAGGUGGGGACGACGUCAAAUCAUCAUGCCCCUUAUGACCUGGGCUACACACGUACUACAAUGGCCGUAAACAGAGGGAAGCAAUACAGCGAUGUGGAGCAAACCCCUAAAAGCGGUCUCAGUUCAGAUUGCAGGCUGCAACCCGCCUGCAUGAAGUCGGAAUU
This 601-nucleotide ribosomal RNA is filed under the name uncultured bacterium. RNAcentral's name for it is "bacterial SSU rRNA". It matches the Rfam family "Bacterial small subunit ribosomal RNA", at positions 724 to 1333 of the family's 1533-position model. The record is from RNAcentral.